AGGACGAACGCUGGCGGCGUGCUUAACACAUGCAAGUCGAGCGGAAAGGCCCUUCGGGGUACUCGAGCGGCGAACGGGUGAGUAACACGUGAGCAACCUGCCCUUAGCUCUGGGAUAGCUCCGGGAAACCGGAAUUAAUACCGGAUACGACCACGGCCGACAUCUGCUGUGGUGGAAAGGAUUCCGGCUAAGGAUGGGCUCGCGGCCUAUCAGCUAGUUGGUGGAGUAACGGCCCACCAAGGCGACGACGGGUA
RNAcentral lists this ribosomal RNA (254 nucleotides) under uncultured bacterium. Its description in RNAcentral is "partial small subunit ribosomal RNA". It matches the Rfam family "Bacterial small subunit ribosomal RNA", at positions 26 to 285 of the family's 1533-position model. The record is from RNAcentral.